GAGGGGUGGUUAUAAUCCACCUGAUGCAAUGCCAUUGAAUCAUCAUAUGCCCUGUUAUUACUGUUCUCUGGAAAUUGCAACAGUUGACUACAUGGUCUAAGCUUUCAGCAAACAGUCAUCUAAAGCUCAAAUAGUGGUGGGCAAAUGUCGAAAGGGCUUAUCUGGGUAACUGCAGAGGAUUUGGCAAGAAAUAGGGGAAAUAUGCUUUCAUUAUAUCGGCAAGUACUCAGGAGCCUCAAUUCUCCUAUUUUGCCCUUAAAUUUGGCAGCAAGAUUGCACAGGAAAGCACAAGCAUGUGCCAUUUUCAUGCUGGGCGCUGAGGAAAGAUCGAUCCACAACAUCAAAGAUCUCGUUGACAUUGCUGAGUAUUCUCUAUCGCUCUUGAGAAAAGGAGAAAUCCCAAAAUAUAUCCAGUAAAAAUGCCAUCUACUUGAUUCUGUUCAGACUUCAUAACAGGUUUGCUGUUAGGCGCAAGUACUAUUGCUCAUGAGAAUGUAGAUCUAGGAAGUUAUGGUACAUUAUUCAUUAAACCUACAGGUAAUUUAAAGUUUUUUUUUUUUUACCAAAGUUGUAAGAACACUUAUCAUAGUUAUAAUCUUUGAUCAGAUCCUGGGGUAAAACCGAAA
Long non-coding RNA from Erigeron canadensis, 626 nucleotides. RefSeq lists it as uncharacterized. The transcript has 2 exons. The record is from RefSeq and is a predicted model, not a curated record. Lineage: Eukaryota; Viridiplantae; Streptophyta; Magnoliopsida; Asterales; Asteraceae.